CCUACGGGUGGCAGCAGUGGGGAAUAUUGGGCAAUGGGCGCAAGCCUGACCCAGCAACGCCGCGUGAAGGAAGAAGGCUUUCGGGUUGUAAACUUCUUUUCUCAGGGACGAAGAAAGUGACGGUACCGGAGGAAUAAGCCACGGCUAACUACGUGCCAGCAGCCGCGGUAAUACGUAGGUGGCAAGCGUUAGCCGGAUUUAUUGGGUGUAAAGGGCGUGUAGGCGGGAGCGGAAGUCAGAUGGGAAAACUCAGGGCUCAACCCUGAGCCUGCAUUUGAAACGGUGUUUCUUGAGUGCUGGAGAGGCCAUCGGCAUUCCGUGUGUAGCGGUGAAAUGCGUAGGUAUCCGGAGGCACACCAGUGGCGACGGCGGAUUGCUGGACAGUAACUGACGCUGCGGCGCGCAAGCGUGGGGAGCAAACAGGAUUAGAUACCCCAGUAGUC
Molecule: ribosomal RNA, 443 nt
Filed under: uncultured bacterium
Lineage: Bacteria
Description: partial 16S ribosomal RNA
Rfam family: Bacterial small subunit ribosomal RNA
Source: RNAcentral